Phasianus colchicus (ring-necked pheasant) is the source of this 914-nucleotide non-coding RNA. The record is from RefSeq and is a predicted model, not a curated record. Lineage: Eukaryota; Metazoa; Chordata; Aves; Galliformes; Phasianidae.
GCUGCCCAGGGAAGUGGCAGAGUCAUCAUACCUGGAGAACGUCAAGAUCCACGGAGGUGUGGUACUGAGGGAUGUUGUUUAGUGGGCAGUAUUGUUGGUAGGUAAACAGUCAGACCAGAUAACUUUAGAGGUCUUUUCCAAUCUUGGUGAUUCUAUGGCAACCAGAACCACUACUCAGUUCUGUAACUGGAGGUCUAAACCGGAUAACUGAACUCAGGACUAAACACAGUAAUGAUCUCAAAGUUCAAAUAAUAUUGAGACCAAGGAAGGAAACAGUAGGCCACGGCUCAGUUUUGCGAGACUAAGAUGGUUGUUACACAGGCAUCAGUUUGCCAAACCACAGCUUUUCCUGUUUGGUUCAGUUUUCAGUAUUGCUGAUUGAUGCAAGGAAACGACUAUAUGAGCCACAGAAGCCAAGAAAAGUAAAAAUGAAGCAGAAGUGAAAACCUAAUCAAAUGAGUAGCAACUCAGGGACUCAAGGGGCAAUUACUUAUGUGAAAGGUUAUAAGGCCAUGUGGAAUAAAAGCAGAGAGAAUGAAGACAAUUGCUUGACAGGACUGGGGAUCUACUUAUGUCAAGGAACUGCAGCAGCUGACAUUUCUCCACCCAGCUAAUGACUAUAUGACCGUGAUAUUCAUUGGCAUUGCAUUGGGUGACAGUGAGGCUGAGCAGAACCAUAUAUAUCUCCAAGAACUGCAAGAGGGACAUGGCCUUUCUUCCUUCACAUCUCUCAAGAGAAGUAUGGCUCUAAGAUGCUACAACAGAGAAUAUAUUCUGCUCUUCUCUCUGCCAUGACCUUCAUAGAAGCAUCCAAGAGAAAAAGAAAAGGCAGCAUUAGAACAUCCCUUGAAGUAAAAGUAUUAAAGUAUUAUCUUGUCAUGCUGUUCUGGCACAACAGAAUGUUUUAAAAGGAA